Molecule: ribosomal RNA, 468 nt
Filed under: uncultured bacterium
Lineage: Bacteria
Description: partial 16S ribosomal RNA
Rfam family: Bacterial small subunit ribosomal RNA
Source: RNAcentral
GACGAACGCUGGCGGCGUGCUUAACACAUGCAAGUCGAACGGAAAGGCCCUGCUUUUGUGGGGUGCUCGAUUGGCGAACGGGUGAGUAACACGUGAGUAACCUGCCCUUGACUUUGGGAUAACUUCAGGGAACUGGGGCUCAUACCGGAUAGGAGCUCCUGCUGCAUGGUGGGGGUUGGAAAGUUUCGGCGGUUGGGGAUGGACUCGCGGCUUAUCAGCUUGUUGGUGGGGUAGUGGCUUACCAAGGCUUUGACGGGUAGCCGGCCUGAGAGGGUGACCGGCCACAUUGGGACUGAGAUACGGCCCAGACUCCUACGGGAGGCAGCAGUGGGGAAUAUUGCACAAUGGGCGGAAGCCUGAUGCAGCAACGCCGCGUGCGGGAUGACGGCCUUCGGGUUGUAAACCGCUUUCGCCUGUGACGAAGCGUGAGUGACGGUAAUGGGUAAAGAAGCACCGGCUAACUACGUG